This 288-nucleotide long non-coding RNA is filed under the name Elaeis guineensis (African oil palm). RNAcentral describes it as "long non-coding RNA (EGUI_LNC010447)". Lineage: Eukaryota; Viridiplantae; Streptophyta; Magnoliopsida; Arecales; Arecaceae. The record is from RNAcentral.
UUCUACUAUCAUGAGUUUUGAUAGAAUCGAGGUUAAGGUAAACUCGUCAAACCUCAUAUCUAUUAUAUGAUGAUUAAUAUGAUCAUUUGAUUUGAGUCCGAUAUGAAAUUCAAUACAAAUUCUUUUCUAUCUUUCACACUACCAUAGUCAUAGAUUUUUGGACUCAAUCGUAUGAUCUAUAUAGGACUACUCCUCUACCAAAGUUGAUAGAUCCCAUCUUAGUGCAGUCCAAUUCCUACAAUGAAUUUACUACAGCUAACAUACAUCUCAAGACUCUAUAUGGCAUGG